UGCUGCUUUGCUGACGAGUGGCGGACGGGUGAGUAAUGUCUGGGAAACUGCCUGAUGGAGGGGGAUAACUACUGGAAACGGUAGCUAAUACCGCAUAACGUCGCAAGACCAAAGAGGGGGACCUUCGGGCCUCUUGCCAUCAGAUGUGCCCAGAUGGGAUUAGCUUGUUGGUGGGGUAACGGCUCACCAAGGCGACGAUCCCUAGCUGGUCUGAGAGGAUGACCAGCCACACUGGAACUGAGACACGGUCCAGACUCCUACGGGAGGCAGCAGUGGGGAAUAUUGCACAAUGGGCGCAAGCCUGAUGCAGCCAUGCCGCGUGUAUGAAGAAG
This 332-nucleotide ribosomal RNA is filed under the name uncultured bacterium. Its description in RNAcentral is "bacterial SSU rRNA". It matches the Rfam family "Bacterial small subunit ribosomal RNA", at positions 78 to 413 of the family's 1533-position model. The record is from RNAcentral.